RNAcentral lists this long non-coding RNA (2582 nucleotides) under Sus scrofa (pig). Its description in RNAcentral is "lncRNA (ENSSSCG00040040581.1)". The record is from RNAcentral. Lineage: Eukaryota; Metazoa; Chordata; Mammalia; Artiodactyla; Suidae.
CUGACAUCUAGCUGCUGCUGGGGCGCCGGCGGCCGCCGCUCACUGGCCAAGCGGAGAGGAACGGAGCUGGCGGAGAGGAGGGUCAGGGACUCGGAAGCCUUAGAGUGGGCAAUGGAGGUGAGGGGCGAGGAGCAACCACCCCCCCAGGUUUUUAAUUUCCACUGGACACAGGUUUUGUUUUCCCCAGCUGCUCCAAGCUUGGAGUUUUGUCCCUGGCUCCAGUAUUUGCCCCUAUUCAGUGCGUGUCAUCUCGCCUUGCACUUUUUCUAAACGUACUCGGGGUGGCACUGCCUGUACCUCGACAUCGGUUUUUGAAGGGCGCUUUACCGGCCUAAGCCCAGGCCUUUUGUGCCUCCGGGUCUUCUGAGCACCCAGACUGCCAGUAGCCUCCAGGCGCAGAGUUCGCGGCCCGGGUAAACCAGAUGCUAGAGGGUCCGCGGGCUCUAUCGUCGAGGGGCGGUGCCCCAUUUUGGCUGUCGCGACCCCUGGAGGCCAAGGUCGAGGUCUGAGAGAAACUUUUCUCCCUCCCAGUCUUGGCCAUCCCCUAGCCUUUGCCCUCCAGGGAACCUAGUUGAAAACAUUUCCUGAGAACUGCACCCCCUUCAGGGCAAAGUCUUCAGGGGGCGAGUAAAAGCCUGAAGAAGAUUCAGAACCGCAAGUGGUUCCUCUCAUCUGGCUCCUCCACUUUAGAGGAUGGGGUUGAGGUCGGUAGCCCCCGGGUAGAGCCACCAGAAGAAAUCUCCGAAUGCGCAGAGUCUCCUUCUCCGCCCUUUUCCCUAGAGCUUGUUGAAGAUAGGGCUCGAGAGGCGCAGUGGGCUAACGUCCAGGAGCGUUGGGGUGAGGGUGAUGGCGGAGAGCGCCCUCCCUGGGUCUCCGGAGAGUCAGCCCUGGAGGUCAUUCAGCCUUAGCAACGAGGGGCUUCAGUCACUGGGUCCCCACGUUCAGUGCCUUUAUCACAUCCCCAGGCACAUCUCAGACACUGUCCCUAACGGAGAGUCGGGCCCCAGGAAUUAAAGAGUCAGGGAGGGUGGCAGAAGCCAAUAGAAGCAAAAAUCUGCUCUGGCCCCAUAAGGCCCCUUGGGGGAGGUUUACAUCAGAACUGAUCUGGGUUCAAGAGCUGCUAAUGGGGUAGUCCCAAGGAUAGGCAAUUCCAUCCCAGCCAGCAGCCCUCUCUGUUCACAAGAAAAGUGCUCAGACCUGCAGGAGUCAGAGGAGAGAAGCAAAGCUGAGGGAGAAGCACACGAAGCCAAGGUCUCCGCAGCAGCCAGCCAAGCUAAGGACCCAGCAGCCCUCCACUGAGUCAGGCCACUAGUACAGGUGACAACCCUGUGGAGAAGAAGCAGUGUGCCCCGUCAUCUGGACUCUGGAAUCAGACUACAUGGGUCUCAAACCCAGAUUGUCCCCGAGAAGUGAUGUGAAAUUUGGCCCAUUUCCUGACUCAAGUCUCAGUUUCCUCCUCUAUGUCAUGAGAAUACUUGAGGUUUCUGCAGCCUCAAAGAAGUUAAAGAGUUUGGCCACAAUCCCGCCAUUCGUCAGGGACAGAGCUGGGAUAUAAAACUAGGUCUAUCGGAUUCCCCAAAGCGCCUUUUUCCUGGAUACCCCUCUGCCUUAGGAGGAAAGUGGCCGGUAAGCCUGCUGAGGAGGCCUGCUCCCUGCCCAGCCUUUUCUUUUAAGGGCCAUCGCCUAUGCUCUGUGUGAGAGGCCCAGAUAGGUUCAAUCACAUAUGAUGCAUGAGAUAUAUAUGUUAGACUUCAGUUUAAAAAAAAAAAAAUCCUGUACCACUCCCUCACCCAUGUCUAAAAUUAAAAUGCCAAAAAUACUACCAGGAAGAGAAAUUUGGUGAAAAGCAAGAAAGACUAUAAAUUGACUGCAGAGUCUACGGCGAGACUUGGAUUUCUCUGGUUUAUUAAAGUCUCACUCUGUAGGAGCUCCUUUCAAGAAGCACUCAAAUAAACUGCACCAAUAUUUGACAGUGUGGAAGCUCUUUUCAAAGACUGUGUAGCCUAUCUUCCCAGAAAGAGAAUUUUCCUUCUUUUGAGUUUACUGCCUAUUGAGCGCCUUCAAUAAAAAGGGGAAAAAAGUAAUCAUGAAGGAUGGUGAUAUUUUUUUCUUCCCUAAUAUCUCCUUGGAACAUCCUGAAAUGUUUACCUGCUGAUUUUCUGUUAGGCAGAUUGGAGAGAGCAAGGUGAAAUUAUAAGAACACUGACUUCCAGUCAGAAGACCUGGAUUCAAGGCCGGCUUGGACAAAUGCUUCCUGUGUAACCCUGGGCAGGUCACUUAACCUCUCCAUGCUUCUAAGUCCUCCUCUGCAAGAACGGUGCUAUUACAUGGAACCUGUCUCUGACCUUUUCUUUUUUUUUACAGCCUCACCUGUGGCACAUGGAAGUCCUAGGCUUGGAGUCGAAUCGGAGCUGCAGCUGCCAGCCUACACCACAGCCACAGCCACGUCAGGUCGGAGGUGCAUGUAUGACCUACACUGCAGCCUACGGCAAUGCCAGAUCCUUAACCCACCGAGCUCGGUCAAGGAUCGAACCCACAUCCUCACGGAUACUAUGUCAGGUUCUUAACCCACUGAGCCACAA